RNAcentral lists this transfer RNA (61 nucleotides) under Paraleius leontonychus. RNAcentral's name for it is "tRNA-Leu(tag)". The record is from RNAcentral. Lineage: Eukaryota; Metazoa; Arthropoda; Arachnida; Sarcoptiformes; Scheloribatidae.
AUAAUAUUUUAAGCAUCUUCUAUCAAAUGCAUCAAGCUUAGAACUUGAAGAAAAUAAAAAU